RNAcentral lists this long non-coding RNA (214 nucleotides) under Olea europaea (common olive). RNAcentral describes it as "long non-coding RNA (OEUR_LNC007126)". Lineage: Eukaryota; Viridiplantae; Streptophyta; Magnoliopsida; Lamiales; Oleaceae. The record is from RNAcentral.
AGUAGUUGAUUAAGUUUAGAAGCUAAAUUUGAUCUUGUCUUGGCAUAUAGUAUCUUCAAUUUCUUCCCAAGUAAGUUAAUUUCUUUUACUUUGGUAAGUGAAGAUCUUGUAGCUUCGUGAAUAAAACUUUUGGCUUCAAGAAGUGUUGUAUGUUGAACUGGAGAUGUGAUUUCCUGCUUACACUAAUAUCAGAAUACAUGGAAGUUAAAUUAAC